RNAcentral lists this ribosomal RNA (252 nucleotides) under uncultured bacterium. RNAcentral's name for it is "partial 16S ribosomal RNA". It matches the Rfam family "Bacterial small subunit ribosomal RNA", at positions 57 to 305 of the family's 1533-position model. The record is from RNAcentral.
GCAAGUCGAGCGGAAACGAGAAGUAGCUUGCUACUUCGGCGUCGAGCGGCGGACGGGUGAGUAAUGCCUGGGAAUAUGCCUUAUGGUGGGGGACAACAGUUGGAAACGACUGCUAAUACCGCAUAACGUCUACGGACCAAAGGGGGGGAUCUUCGGACCUCUCGCCAUUUGAUUAGCCCAAGUGAGAUUAGCUAGUUGGUAAGGUAAUGGCUUACCAAGGCGACGAUCCCUAGCUGGUCUUAGAGGAUGACC